GGAGGGAAGUUUCGAAACGGAUUGCAUCAGUUAAAUCCGGAGUGAAACGUCGCUGGAGAAAGUCAAAAUAUACGUUCAAAGCAAAUGUAAUGAACAGGAAGCUAAAAUAUUAUAUAAAACAGUGUUUCCCAGAGCCGGGUUUAGGUUUGACGAGGCCCUAAGCUACUAAAGACAGAGGAGCUAUAUGAGAUUUAUCUACUUGCCUGAAAGUUGACUGCGAUUAUGAGAGAGGACGCCGCUGUGACAGCGAAGGACUGGUAAUCUGAGGGCGCUUCUCCAUCUUGCCCCAUGGUUUGUAGAAUAGCCAUUGAAGAAGGAGUACCAAAAGUGGACUAACGUAAAUGCAAAGUUUUUGUAGAAGAAGUACCGAAGGAACUU
Molecule: long non-coding RNA, 378 nt
Organism: Podarcis raffonei (Aeolian wall lizard)
Lineage: Eukaryota; Metazoa; Chordata; Lepidosauria; Squamata; Lacertidae
Exons: 3
Source: RefSeq, a predicted model, not a curated record